Molecule: ribosomal RNA, 102 nt
Filed under: Shigella boydii 5216-82
Lineage: Bacteria; Pseudomonadati; Pseudomonadota; Gammaproteobacteria; Enterobacterales; Enterobacteriaceae
Source: RNAcentral
CCUACUCUCGCAUGGGGAGACCCCACACUACCAUCGGCGCUACGGCGUUUCACUUCUGAGUUCGGCAUGGGGUCAGGUGGGACCACCGCGCUAAGGCCGCCA